AGUUUAGCCCUGAGCUAACUGCUGCCAAUCUUCCUCUUUUUGCUGAGGAAGACUGGCCCUGAGCUAACAUCCGUGCCCAUCUUCCUCUACUUUAUAUGUGGGACACCUACCACAGCAUGGCAUGCUGAGCGGUGCCAUGUCUGCACCUGGGAUCAGAAGCAGUGAACCCCAGGCCGCCAAAGCAGAACAUGUGCACUUAACCGCUGCACCACCGGGCCGGCCCUGAACAAUGCUAAAAUCGUCAAACUGAUAAAGAACCGUUAAGUUGUUCUCCCAAUUGUUGGAUGGCAGAUAAUUCAUUUUGGCUUAAGAGCCUGGAGGAGAACUUGAAGAAGGAACCAAGGCAAUUCCUUUUCCACAAUGUUGUUCC
This 370-nucleotide long non-coding RNA is filed under the name Equus caballus (horse). RNAcentral describes it as "lncRNA (ENSECAG00000036509.3)". The record is from RNAcentral. Lineage: Eukaryota; Metazoa; Chordata; Mammalia; Perissodactyla; Equidae.